AUUUUAAAUAAAAAGUCAAGCUUUGUUUUCUGGACUAUUAUACUACAGAUUACAUUUGCCCUAUAACUUUCUAGGAAUCAGACCUGUCUAUACCAGUUGCUGGUCAUAUCACUUCAAAUUUAACUCCUUAACAUUACAACGCUUGUAUGGUGGCUUUUACUUUUGAAGUAAGGAAGGUUAUUGAGUUUCCAUGUGUCCUACAUCUAUUUUUAUUCUUCUGCAAACUACAAAAUAGAUCUGACUAUAGCCAAAUCGAAGAUUUCUUUUCCCAAAUGGGCAAAUUUAUGCCUACAUUUUUAAAUUCGAUUCAUAAUUUGCUACACUUGGUUUGUAAACAAACCCUUAUAUCAUUGAUUUUUUAAUCAAGUACACUGACACUAGUGUCAGCAGUGAUCUGAAGGCUUGCUACAGAAUUGGACAUCAUGG
Non-coding RNA from Pelobates cultripes (western spadefoot toad), 426 nucleotides. NCBI's taxonomy places the organism in Eukaryota, Metazoa, Chordata, Amphibia, Anura, Pelobatidae. The record is from the annotation of a GenBank genome assembly.